GACGGAAGGUGCAAGCGUUGCUCGGAAUCACUGGGCGUAAAGGGUGCGUAGGCGGCCGUGUAAGUCUGGCGUGAAAGCCCCGGGCUCAGCCCGGGAAGUGCGCUCGAAACUGCACGGCUCGAGUGCCGGAGGGGAGAGUGGAAUUCCUGGUGUAGCGGUGAAAUGCGUAGAUAUCAGGAGGAAUACCGGUGGCGAAAGCGACUCUCUGGACGGUAACUGACGCUGAGGCACGAAAGCGUGGGGAGCGAACGGG
This 253-nucleotide ribosomal RNA is filed under the name uncultured bacterium. RNAcentral describes it as "partial 16S ribosomal RNA". It matches the Rfam family "Bacterial small subunit ribosomal RNA", at positions 524 to 776 of the family's 1533-position model. The record is from RNAcentral.